RNAcentral lists this ribosomal RNA (482 nucleotides) under uncultured bacterium. RNAcentral's name for it is "partial 16S ribosomal RNA". It matches the Rfam family "Bacterial small subunit ribosomal RNA", at positions 30 to 507 of the family's 1533-position model. The record is from RNAcentral.
AUUGAACGCUGGCGGCAUGCUUUACACAUGCAAGUCGAACGGCAGCGCGGGGCAACCUGGCGGCGAGUGGCGAACGGGUGAGUAAUACAUCGGAACGUACCCAGACGUGGGGGAUAACGUAGCGAAAGUUACGCUAAUACCGCAUACGUUCUACGGAAGAAAGUGGGGGACCUUCGGGCCUCAUGCUUUUGGAGCGGCCGAUGUCUGAUUAGCUAGUUGGUGAGGUAAAGGCUCACCAAGGCGACGAUCAGUAGCUGGUCUGAGAGGACGACCAGCCACACUGGGACUGAGACACGGCCCAGACUCCUACGGGAGGCAGCAGUGGGGAAUUUUGGACAAAGGGCGCAAGCCUGAUCCAGCAAUGCCGCGUGAGUGAAGAAGGCCUUCGGGUUGUAAAGCUCUUUUGUCAGGGAAGAAACGGCUGAGGAUAAUACCUUCGGCUAAUGACGGUACCUGAAGAAUAAGCACCGGCUAACUACGUG